RNAcentral lists this ribosomal RNA (253 nucleotides) under uncultured bacterium. RNAcentral's name for it is "partial 16S ribosomal RNA". It matches the Rfam family "Bacterial small subunit ribosomal RNA", at positions 524 to 776 of the family's 1533-position model. The record is from RNAcentral.
GACGAACCGAGCGAACGUUGUUCGGAAUCACUGGGCUUAAAGGGUGCGUAGGCGGGCUGCCAAGUUUGGGGUGAAAUCCUCCGGCUCAACCGGGGAAGUGCCUCGAAUACUGGCGGUCUAGAGGGAGGUAGGGGCGUGCGGAACUAACGGUGGAGCGGUGAAAUGCGUUGAUAUCGUUAGGAACUCCGGUGGCGAAGGCGGCACGCUAGACCUCUUCUGACGCUGAGGCACGAAAGCCAGGGGAGCGAACGGG